RNAcentral lists this ribosomal RNA (932 nucleotides) under Escherichia coli. RNAcentral describes it as "partial 23S ribosomal RNA". It matches the Rfam family "Bacterial large subunit ribosomal RNA", at positions 1 to 966 of the family's 2925-position model. The record is from RNAcentral. Lineage: Bacteria; Pseudomonadati; Pseudomonadota; Gammaproteobacteria; Enterobacterales; Enterobacteriaceae.
GGGUUGUGAGGUUAAGCGACUAAGCGUACACGGUGGAUGCCCUGGCAGUCAGAGGCGAUGAAGGACGUGCUAAUCUGCGAUAAGCGUCGGUAAGGUGAUAUGAACCGUUAUAACCGGCGAUUUCCGAAUGGGGAAACCCAGUGUGAUUCGUCACACUAUCAUUAACUGAAUCCAUAGGUUAAUGAGGCGAACCGGGGGAACUGAAACAUCUAAGUACCCCGAGGAAAAGAAAUCAACCGAGAUUCCCCCAGUAGCGGCGAGCGAACGGGGAGGAGCCCAGAGCCUGAAUCAGUGUGUGUGUUAGUGGAAGCGUCUGGAAAGGCGCGCGAUACAGGGUGACAGCCCCGUACACAAAAAUGCACAUACUGUGAGCUCGAUGAGUAGGGCGGGACACGUGGUAUCCUGUCUGAAUAUGGGGGGACCAUCCUCCAAGGCUAAAUACUCCUGACUGACCGAUAGUGAACCAGUACCGUGAGGGAAAGGCGAAAAGAACCCCGGCGAGGGGAGUGAAAAAGAACCUGAAACCGUGUACGUACAAGCAGUGGGAGCCUCUUUAUGGGGUGACUGCGUACCUUUUGUAUAAUGGGUCAGCGACUUAUAUUCUGUAGCAAGGUUAACCGAAUAGGGGAGCCGAAGGGAAACCGAGUCUUAACUGGGCGUUAAGUUGCAGGGUAUAGACCCGAAACCCGGUGAUCUAGCCAUGGGCAGGUUGAAGGUUGGGUAACACUAACUGGAGGACCGAACCGACUAAUGUUGAAAAAUUAGCGGAUGACUUGUGGCUGGGGGUGAAAGGCCAAUCAAACCGGGAGAUAGCUGGUUCUCCCCGAAAGCUAUUUAGGUAGCGCCUCGUGAAUUCAUCUCCGGGGGUAGAGCACUGUUUCGGCAAGGGGGUCAUCCCGACUUACCAACCCGAUGCAAACUGCGAAUACCGG